UACAGAGGUCCCAAGCGUUGUUCGGAUUCACUGGGCGUAAAGGGUGCGUAGGUGGUUGGGUAAGUCUGAUGUGAAAUCUCUGAGCUCAACUCAGAAACUGCAUUGGAUACUAUCCGGCUAGAGAACCGGAGGGGGGACUGGAAUACUUGGUGUAGCAGUGAAAUGCGUAGAUAUCAAGUGGAACACCAGUGGCGAAGGCGAGUCCCUGGACGAUUUCUGACACUGAGGCACGAAAGCUAGGGGAGCAAACAGG
This 253-nucleotide ribosomal RNA is filed under the name uncultured bacterium. Its description in RNAcentral is "partial 16S ribosomal RNA". It matches the Rfam family "Bacterial small subunit ribosomal RNA", at positions 524 to 776 of the family's 1533-position model. The record is from RNAcentral.